CAGUAGCCGCGGGAACACAGAGGGUGCGAGCGUUAAUCGGAUUUACUGGGCGUAAAGCGUGCGUAGGCGGCUUUUUAAGUCGGAUGUGAAAUCCCUGAGCUUAACUUAGGAAUUGCAUUCGAUACUGGGAAGCUAGAGUAUGGGAGAGGAUGGUAGAAUUCCAGGUGUAGCGGUGAAAUGCGUAGAGAUCUGGAGGAAUACCGAUGGCGAAGGCAGCCAUCUGGCCUAAUACUGACGCUGAGGUACGAAAGCAUGGGGAGCAAACAGGAUUAGAUACCCGUGUAGUCCCUGUCUCUUAUAA
This 301-nucleotide ribosomal RNA is filed under the name uncultured bacterium. Its description in RNAcentral is "partial 16S ribosomal RNA". It matches the Rfam family "Bacterial small subunit ribosomal RNA", at positions 509 to 809 of the family's 1533-position model. The record is from RNAcentral.